RNAcentral lists this long non-coding RNA (545 nucleotides) under Salmo salar (Atlantic salmon). RNAcentral's name for it is "lncRNA (ENSSSAG00000093785.1)". The record is from RNAcentral. Lineage: Eukaryota; Metazoa; Chordata; Actinopteri; Salmoniformes; Salmonidae.
ACAGAGUCAAUGUGGAGGAUAUAUACAGGGGGUACCGGUACAGAGUCAAUGUGGAGACUAUAUACAGGGGGUACCGGUACAGAGUCAAUGUGGAGGCUUUAUACAGGGGGUACCGUACAGAGUCAAUGUGGAGGCUUUAUACAGGGGGUACCGUACAGAGUCAAUGUGGAGGCUAUAUACAGGGUAUUACGGUACAGAGUCAAUGUGGAGGCUAUAUACAGGGUAUUACGGUACAGAGUCAAUGUGGAGGCUAUAUACAGGGGGUACCGGUACAGAGUCAAUGUGGAGGCUAUAUACAGGGGGUACCGGUACAGAGUCAAUGUGGAGGCUAUAUACAGGGGUUACCGGUACAGAGUCAAUGUGGAGGCUAUAUACAGGGGGUACCGGUACAGAGUCAAUGUGGAGGCUAUAUACAGGGGGUACCGGUACAGAGUCAAUGUGGAGGCUAUAUACAGGGGGUACCGGUACAGAGUCAAUGUGGAGGCUAUAUACAGGAGUUACCGGUACAGAGUCAAUGUGGAGGCUAUAUACAGGGGGGUACCGGU